AAAAAACACUGUAAACCACUAAUAAAUACACUGUAAUUUCAACAGUUUUACAGUGUAAAAUCAACUCAAAAAAGUUAACUGCAUUGACAAAAUGCACUGGAACAACCACAUAUACAUGGACGAACAUGGAGAAGCACCACCAGAGAGGGUGAUUCCUCCAAGAUCUGCUACACAAACUUCAACAACAUGGCUAGAGAAGCAGGAAAAACAUAGGUAAACACCCCUUCUCGCCCCCUCCUAUGCGUUCAUCACCUCCUAUCGUCUCCCUCCUGCCUGAAGAAAUCUGGAAGAAAGAACAGAUGAAAAAAGAACAUAAGCACACUAAGAAAGAACCAGCACAGAUCCUAGGAACAACCAGAACAUGGUCGCAUGUACUACUAGUCUAUGAUCACAAGAACACUAUAUACUGAAAACUAGAUGCCCAGAUCAUUGGUUUCUAGAUUUGCAGAAUAGGAACACACUACAGGGGACAAAAACACACUCAAAGAUCACUAGGCUAGCAAUUCCAUUUAGGGGACAAAUACAAGGGACAAAAACACACUACUAGGCUAGCAAUUCCAUUUAGGUAAAACUAGUUGAAAAUAUACAAGGUUGAGGAUUACUGCAGUUGAGAGAAUAUGUGACUAUUUCCACAAACUUUGGAAACUAAAAAACUAAAACACUAUUAAGAAACUUUGAUCUACUAGUUUAGACACUUCCUGUUGAAUGACCGAAUACAAGUAACUUUGGAAGUGUAAACUGCUAUGAACUGAUACUUGUUUACACUGAAUAUUGAUUAGCAUUAACAUAAACACUGAAAAUAGAAGUUAUCAGAAAAAAUGAGUAACACAAUCAGGCUAAAAACACUAAAGAUUACAGUGUAAAACCCACAAAGAAUUAUAGUGUAACUCUACUAAGAAUAACACUGUAAUCCAAUAAAGAUUACAGUGUAAAUACACCAAAAUUGUCAAUCUCUUUGCUACAAGAAUAGCUUAACCAAAAGGAAGACAAAGUACAAACCAUGUUACAGCAGUACGGAUUGAACCAAGUUCACCUAAAAAAGGGUCCGUGAAAAUUACAUCAAAGCCAAACUCCCCUAGCCUCCUUUACAACCCACACAGGCAAAGCAGCGAGAAAGGAGAAAAAGAACCCAACAUUACAAGGCAAGAAUUUCCCAUCUCUAAUCUAAAACUAACCAC
RNAcentral lists this long non-coding RNA (1178 nucleotides) under Triticum aestivum (bread wheat). Its description in RNAcentral is "long non-coding RNA (TAES_LNC028110)". The record is from RNAcentral. Lineage: Eukaryota; Viridiplantae; Streptophyta; Magnoliopsida; Poales; Poaceae.